GACAGAGGUGGCGAGCGUUGUUCGGAUUCAUUGGGUGUAAAGGGUGCGUAGGCGGUUUGGUAAGUCAGGUGUGAAAUCCUACAGCUUAACUGUGGAACUGCAUUUGAAACUACCAGGCUAGAGUGCGAGAGAGGUAAAGGGAAUUCCCGGUGUAAGGGUGAAAUCUGCAGAGAUCGGGAAGAACACCAGCUGCGAAGGCGCUUUACUGGCUCGCAACUGACGCUGAGUGCACGAAGGCGUGGGGAGCAAACGGG
Molecule: ribosomal RNA, 254 nt
Filed under: uncultured bacterium
Lineage: Bacteria
Description: partial 16S ribosomal RNA
Rfam family: Bacterial small subunit ribosomal RNA
Source: RNAcentral